RNAcentral lists this ribosomal RNA (526 nucleotides) under Salmonella enterica. Its description in RNAcentral is "partial 23S ribosomal RNA". It matches the Rfam family "Bacterial large subunit ribosomal RNA", at positions 973 to 1503 of the family's 2925-position model. The record is from RNAcentral. Lineage: Bacteria; Pseudomonadati; Pseudomonadota; Gammaproteobacteria; Enterobacterales; Enterobacteriaceae.
UAUCACGGGAGACACACGGCGGGUGCUAACGUCCGUCGUGAAGAGGGAAACAACCCAGACCGCCAGCUAAGGUCCCAAAGUCAUGGUUAAGUGGGAAACGAUGUGGGAAGGCCCAGACAGCCAGGAUGUUGGCUUAGAAGCAGCCAUCAUUUAAAGAAAGCGUAAUAGCUCACUGGUCGAGUCGGCCUGCGCGGAAGAUGUAACGGGGCUAAACCAUGCACCGAAGCUGCGGCAGCGACACUGUGUGUUGUUGGGUAGGGGAGCGUUCUGUAAGCCUGUGAAGGUGUGUCGUGAGGCAUGCUGGAGGUAUCAGAAGUGCGAAUGCUGACAUAAGUAACGAUAAAGCGGGUGAAAAGCCCGCUCGCCGGAAGACCAAGGGUUCCUGUCCAACGUUAAUCGGGGCAGGGUGAGUCGACCCCUAAGGCGAGGCCGAAAGGCGUAGUCGAUGGGAAACGGGUUAAUAUUCCCGUACUUGGUGUUACUGCGAAGGGGGGACGGAGAAGGCUAUGUUGGCCGGGCGACGGUU